Molecule: RNA transcript, 2504 nt
Organism: Epinephelus fuscoguttatus (brown-marbled grouper)
Lineage: Eukaryota; Metazoa; Chordata; Actinopteri; Perciformes; Serranidae
Exons: 10
Source: RefSeq, a predicted model, not a curated record
UGUAUUGUACUGUACUAUCAUGAUUUAUAGUUUUGACUAAUAUACUGUCUUAUUUAGGUUUUGCAUUUUGUGUUGUUUCACAGUUUAGUUUCCUUAGUUCUAUGUCUGUCUUAAUUGCCCAUUGUAUUCACCUGUGUCCUAUUGACUCUGGUGUCUAUUUCAACUCAGCUGUGUUCUUUGGGGAGUACUAAUAACAUUUUUUUCUUACAGACCAGGAGAGCUGAGGUCAAAAUGGCAGUAACAUUAGUGCAGCACAAUGUGCCACUUGCUGUUGCUUACCACCUGGGGCUUCUUCUGAAGGAGUGCUUCAAAGAUUCCAGAACAGCCCAGGAGUACAGGUGUGCCACAACAAAAACAUCAUGCAUCGUUAACGAGGCGCUGGCACCACAUUUCAUGAAGGAGUUGGUGGUACAAAUGAGGGAACAACCAUACGCCCUCAUCACAGAUGGAUCCAUUAACUCAGGAGUAGAGAAGAUGAACCCCCUGACUGUCCGGAUCUUUAUCAAAGAUAAGGUUGACCACCGCUUCCUGGGGAUGUGCACUAUGAGCGGGACAAGGUGUGGGACAGCUGAAGUCAUCUUCAGCAAGAUAAAGGCCACCUUGGAAGAAAAAGCUAUCCCUUGGCAAAAUUGUGUUGGACUCUCUGUGGACAAUGCUGCGGUGAACACAGGCUCACACAACUCCAUUUCCUCCAGAAUCCUGAAGGAACACCCCAGCAUUUAUGUUCAUGGUUGCCCUUGUCAUGUAGUCCACAACACAGCUAAAUCAGCUGGGGUGGGAUUUUUAGAAGUGUCCAUAUUUGAUCUGGAGGACCUGGUAGUAGAUUUCGGCUACUGGUUCAAGGGUAGCACGAACCGAAAGGGGUACCUGACAGGUAACAACAACAGAUUACUUGACGAUGGAGACAUCACACCACAGCAGAUGGAGAAAUUCCAUGAAGCUGCCUUGGCUUUUCUGAUCAACGCUGUGGAUUACGCUUUGAAGAAGCUGCCGCUACAAGAGCCACUGCUCAAGCACGCCAAGUUUGUAGAUGUCCGCCAGAGGUUGGAAUGUGGCAUAGAAGAUGCUCUUUACUUUGUUGAGAGGUUCCCCUACCUGCUCCCUUACCAUGGGCCACAGGAGCAUGACCGGCUGAGCGAAGAGUUGCUGGAAUACCAGACUAUGCCAAUGCCCUGCCCUGCAGGACUCAGAGGAACUUGAGAUGGAGAGCUUCUGGGUGGAGAUGGCGACCCAGAAAGAUAAGGACAAAGAUUUGGUCUUUGUUGAGCAAAUUACAUCUGGACCUGUUUUGAGAUCUGCCACAUUGUCCAUUGAAGACCAGUGCCCUCAACAGUGAGAAGGAUGUCAUCAUGUGGGUAAGAUCGCAGGUGGACUCCAGCUUUCAGAUCUGUGUAUCCAGAGAGAACAUGGUGGAAAGAGGUCUGAAGUUGUGGAAGCAAUAAAAAAAUGGCAGUUCAAUGAAUCCCUUGUGGGUUACAUUCCUGGGAGAGCCAGGGAUUGAUAAAGGGGCCCUAAAAAAGGAGUUUCUGUCUGCAAUGGUGGCUGGGAAAGAUGCCCAAAUACUCCCUAAAUGACCUGGACGAUGAGCUAUUCAGGGCAAUUCGACUUCAUGUGAUGACAAAACGCAUGCCCAUGCUCCAGCAACUACAGGAGGGCCUGAAAGUGUAUGACCUUAUCAAAGUGAUACAGACCAAGCCAGUAGUGUGUUGCAGCCUCUUCAUCAUUGGAGACAAUGACUUGGUGGACUCACAUUACAUCUUGUCCCGUCUGGCCCCGAAGUUGAGUUCAAGUAGCUCAAGUAAGCAAGUGAAGGAAUCUAAAAUCUUGGAGUACUUCCAGGAUUUUUUUCUGGAACUUGAAGAUGCACAACCAGAUGAUGUCACAGAAGACACCCUGACUGUACUCUCUGUCAUGCAGUGGAUGACUAGUCAAGCCCACAGGCAUCUGCUUUUGGCAGAGUGGCAAAAAUUCCAAAUCACUGUGAACUUUGAUCACUGCUGUAUGAAUGACAUGCCAAAUCACGGUGUUUGUUAUCCAACUGUCAGUGCUUGCACUGACACCAUAACAUUCCCAGUAGCCCACAUCAGUAGUGUGAUUAAUGUGGUUUGAUAACCGAGUUGUUGCCAAUAACUGAGUUCAGUGGCUUGUGGUUUAGUCUUGAUGUAUUCUAUUGUAUUAUUUGUCUAUUAUUAUUUAGCUGAAAGUGCAUUUUUCAAUUUUGAUGAUACACAGGCUUGUAAUAGCGAGAAUACCCCCUCUUUCAUUCCUGCUCUGUGUCCCAAAUUUUGUGUUUUCAAUUAUGUGUUUUUGGAAGUUUGAAUCUGGGGUGCCAUAAGCCUCCAUUAGGUGGAGUUGUGUUGCUACCUCCUCUCCCCUUGGAUCUCCGCAAGUGUUGUGAGGACUCUAAAACUUAACCUGAUCCUAAGUAUACUUAAAGUUGUUCCGUUUGAGCAGUCAAGUCUCCCUCCACUAAAAUGUGUUUUUGUUCUGGUUUGUAUGUAUGA